GUGAAUCAUCGAAUUUUUGAACGCAAAUUGCACUCUCCUCGGAGAGUAUGCCUGUUUGAGGUUCAUCCUAUAAAAAAUCAACAUCGUUGCUCUGUCGCGGUGGCGUUCGUCUGAAAUUGUGUCAUCUUCAAUGUUUUGUUUUUAAGCGACUUAAAAUUUUCUUUUUGGUUCCAUGAACGUUUCUAAGAUUUAUUUCUUUACACGUUUAAGAUAUCGAUUUUUAUUAGACGGGACCAUCAUGGCGGAUUGCUCUUAU
This 256-nucleotide unclassified non-coding RNA is filed under the name Glomeraceae sp. RNAcentral's name for it is "partial contains 5.8S ribosomal RNA and internal transcribed spacer 2". The stretch from base 1 to 65 matches the Rfam family "5.8S ribosomal RNA", at positions 84 to 154 of the family's 154-position model. Lineage: Eukaryota; Fungi; Glomeromycota; Glomeromycetes; Glomerales; Glomeraceae. The record is from RNAcentral.